AACAACGACAUGAUAGAGAAAUACACUCUGAGAGAUAUGAUAC
RNAcentral lists this non-coding RNA (43 nucleotides) under Trypanosoma brucei brucei. Lineage: Eukaryota; Euglenozoa; Kinetoplastea; Trypanosomatida; Trypanosomatidae. The record is from RNAcentral.